Molecule: long non-coding RNA, 1092 nt
Organism: Cebus imitator (Panamanian white-faced capuchin)
Lineage: Eukaryota; Metazoa; Chordata; Mammalia; Primates; Cebidae
Exons: 3
Source: RefSeq, a predicted model, not a curated record
UUCCAGCACCACCACGGCCUCUUCAUAGACUGGCACUUCAAAGGCUUCGUUGUCCCUGAGGGAGGAGAAAUAAGGUCAUUGGUGGCUUUCAUGAAAGAAGCCCUUUUUUCCUUUUUUUGUCUGCCUCGGGCAAAAGAUCCUCUGUUGGCCCCUGCCUCCUCCUCCCGCUGAUACCAGUGACAGAGGAAACUGGAGACUCUAUGCCUCAGAGACUACAGGAAGAGGGAGGAUGGGCCCAAGGUGUAUUCCUCUCAUGAUACCCACCCCUUAACUCACCGUGCAUUGCCUGAGGGCCCUGGGCUCUCAGUCUGCAUUGAUUGGAGCUGGAACCGAAGACCCCAUUCCAGAAACCGGACCAGGAGGUUCUUCAGUCUCAAAUCAAAUAAAUAAUCUGCAGAGUCCCCUCCAGCUCCACAAAUCUCUCUAGGUCUUGGCGUGUGUGGAAUAGCCAGGAAACCAGCCCAGGAGCCUUGACUUCCAGCCAUUCUGCACCUGAAGCAAAAAUGAAUUGUUAGCCACACGUGGUGGCUCAUGACAGUAGUCUCGGCUACUUGGGAGGCUGAGGCAAGAGGAUCUCUUAGUACAGGAGUUCGAGGCAAUGUAGUAAGACCCUGUUCUUAAAUUUUUUUUUAAAAGCAAUUGUCUAUAAAUGUGUGGGUUUAUUUCUGAGCUCUGAAUCCUGCUGUGUUGGUCAAUGUGUCUGUUUUUAUGCCAAUAUUAUGCUCUUUUGAUUACUGUAGCUUUCCAGUAUAUUUUGAUGUCAAGAAGUGUGAUACCUCCGGCUUUGCUCUUUUUGCUCAAGAGUCCUUUGCUAUCUGGGUUUGUUUUAAAGGUUUCAUACAAAUUUAAGGAUUAUUUUUUCUAUUGCUGUGAAAAAUGACACUGGAAUUUUGAUAGAGGUUGCAUUGAAUUUAUAAAUUGCUUUGGGUACUAUGAGCAUUUUAACAAUAUUAAUUGUUUCACAGAACAACUUUCCAUUUAUUUGUGUCAUUUUCAAUUGCUUUUAUUAGUGUCUUACAGUUUUCAGUAUAUACAGAUCUUUUACCUCAUUUAACCAAUUUUUAAAAAUUUACACCUAUUUUUUUGUUGUUG